GAUGAACGCUGGCGGCGUGCCUAAUACAUGCAAGUCGAGCGAACAGGCGAGGAGCUUGCUCCUCUGACGUUAGCGGCGGACGGGUGAGUAACACGUGGAUAACCUACCUAUAAGACUGGGAUAACUUCGGGAAACCGGAGCUAAUACCGGAUAAUAUAUUGAACUGCAUGGUUCAAUAGUGAAAGACGGUUUUGCUGUCACUUAUAGAUGGAUCCGCGCCGCAUUAGCUAGUUGGUAAGGUAACGGCUUACCAAGGCAACGAUGCGUAGCCGACCUGAGAGGGUGAUCGGCCACACUGGAACUGAGACACGGUCCAGACUCCUACGGGAGGCAGCAGUAGGGAAUCUUCCGCAAUGGGCGAAAGCCUGACGGAGCAACGCCGCGUGAGUGAUGAAGGUCUUCGGAUCGUAAAACUCUGUUAUUAGGGAAGAACAAAUGUGUAAGUAACUAUGCACGUCUUGACGGUACCUAAUCAGAAAGCCACGGCUAACUACGU
Molecule: ribosomal RNA, 496 nt
Filed under: uncultured bacterium
Lineage: Bacteria
Description: partial 16S ribosomal RNA
Rfam family: Bacterial small subunit ribosomal RNA
Source: RNAcentral